Molecule: ribosomal RNA, 1491 nt
Filed under: metagenome
Description: bacterial SSU rRNA
Rfam family: Bacterial small subunit ribosomal RNA
Source: RNAcentral
AGAGUUUGAUCCUGGCUCAGAUUGAACGCUGGCGGCAUGCCUUACACAUGCAAGUCGAACGGCAGCACGAGAGCUUGCUCUUGGUGGCGAGUGGCGAACGGGUGAGUAAUAUAUCGGAACGUACCCUAGAGUGGGGGAUAACGUAGCGAAAGUUACGCUAAUACCGCAUACGAUCUACGGAUGAAAGUGGGGGAUCGCAAGACCUCAUGCUCAUGGAGCGGCCGAUAUCUGAUUAGCUAGUUGGUGGGGUAAAAGCUCACCAAGGCGACGAUCAGUAGCUGGUCUGAGAGGACGACCAGCCACACUGGAACUGAGACACGGUCCAGACUCCUACGGGAGGCAGCAGUGGGGAAUUUUGGACAAUGGGCGCAAGCCUGAUCCAGCAAUGCCGCAUGAGUGAAGAAGGCCUUCGGGUUGUAAAGCUCUUUUGUCAGGGAAGAAACGGUGGACUCUAAUACAGAUCACUAAUGACGGUACCUGAAGAAUAAGCACCGGCUAACUACGUGCCAGCAGCCGCGGUAAUACGUAGGGUGCAAGCGUUAAUCGGAAUUACUGGGCGUAAAGCGUGCGCAGGCGGUUGUGCAAGACAGAUGUGAAAUCCCCGGGCUCAACCUGGGAAUUGCAUUUGUGACUGCACGGCUAGAGUGUGUCAGAGGGGGGUAGAAUUCCACGUGUAGCAGUGAAAUGCGUAGAGAUGUGGAGGAAUACCGAUGGCGAAGGCAGCCCCCUGGGAUAACACUGACGCUCAUGCACGAAAGCGUGGGGAGCAAACAGGAUUAGAUACCCUGGUAGUCCACGCCCUAAACGAUGUCUACUAGUUGUCGGGUCUUAAUUGACUUGGUAACGCAGCUAACGCGUGAAGUAGACCGCCUGGGGAGUACGGUCGCAAGAUUAAAACUCAAAGGAAUUGACGGGGACCCGCACAAGCGGUGGAUGAUGUGGAUUAAUUCGAUGCAACGCGAAAAACCUUACCUACCCUUGACAUGUCUGGAAUCCUUGAGAGAUCAGGGAGUGCUCGAAAGAGAAUCAGAACACAGGUGCUGCAUGGCUGUCGUCAGCUCGUGUCGUGAGAUGUUGGGUUAAGUCCCGCAACGAGCGCAACCCUUGUCAUUAGUUGCUACGAAAGGGCACUCUAAUGAGACUGCCGGUGACAAACCGGAGGAAGGUGGGGAUGACGUCAAGUCCUCAUGGCCCUUAUGGGUAGGGCUUCACACGUCAUACAAUGGUACAUACAGAGGGCCGCCAACCCGCGAGGGGGAGCUAAUCCCAGAAAGUGUAUCGUAGUCCGGAUUGUAGUCUGCAACUCGACUACAUGAAGUUGGAAUCGCUAGUAAUCGCGGAUCAGCAUGUCGCGGUGAAUACGUUCCCGGGUCUUGUACACACCGCCCGUCACACCAUGGGAGCGGGUUUCACCAGAAGUGGGUAGCCUAACCGCAAGGAGGGCGCUCACCACGGUGGGAUUCGUGACUGGGGUGAAGUCGUAACAAGGUA